Molecule: ribosomal RNA, 613 nt
Filed under: Bacillus sp. YC6911
Lineage: Bacteria; Bacillati; Bacillota; Bacilli; Caryophanales; Bacillaceae
Description: bacterial SSU rRNA
Rfam family: Bacterial small subunit ribosomal RNA
Source: RNAcentral
CAAGUCGAGCGAACAGAAGGGAGCUUGCUCCCGGAUGUUAGCGGCGGACGGGUGAGUAACACGUUGGGUAACCUGCCUGUAAGACUGGGAUAACUCCGGGAAACCGGAGCUAAUACCGGAUAGUUCCUUGAACCGCAUGGUUCAAGGAUGAAAGACGGUUUCGGCUGUCACUUACAGAUGGACCCGCGGCGCAUUAGCUAGUUGGUGGGGUAAUGGCUCACCAAGGCGACGAUGCGUAGCCGACCUGAGAGGGUGAUCGGCCACACUGGGACUGAGACACGGCCCAGACUCCUACGGGAGGCAGCAGUAGGGAAUCUUCCGCAAUGGACGAAAGUCUGACGGAGCAACGCCGCGUGAGUGAUGAAGGUUUUCGGAUCGUAAAGCUCUGUUGUUAGGGAAGAACAAGUGCGAGAGUAACUGCUCGCACCUUGACGGUACCUAACCAGAAAGCCACGGCUAACUACGUGCCAGCAGCCGCGGUAAUACGUAGGUGGCAAGCGUUGUCCGGAAUUAUUGGGCGUAAAGGGCUCGCAGGCGGUUUCUUAAGUCUGAUGUGAAAGCCCCCGGCUCAACCGGGGAGGGUCAUUGGAAACUGGGAAACUUGAGUGCAGAA